RNAcentral lists this ribosomal RNA (253 nucleotides) under uncultured bacterium. RNAcentral's name for it is "partial 16S ribosomal RNA". It matches the Rfam family "Bacterial small subunit ribosomal RNA", at positions 524 to 776 of the family's 1533-position model. The record is from RNAcentral.
UACGUAGGGUGCAAGCGUUGUCCGGAAUUAUUGGGCGUAAAGAGCUCGUAGGCGGUUUGUUGCGUCGGCUGUGAAAUCCCGAGGCUCAACCUCGGGUCUGCAGUCGAUACGAGCAAACUAGAGUGUUGCAGGGGAGACUGGAAUUCCUGGUGUAGCGGUGAAAUGCGCAGAUAUCAGGAGGAACACCGGUGGCGAAGGCGGUUCUCUGGGCCUUACCUGACACUGAGGAGCGAAAGCGUGGGGAGCAAACAGG